Transfer RNA from Alligator mississippiensis (American alligator), 73 nucleotides. It matches the Rfam family "tRNA". Rfam says of the family: Transfer RNA (tRNA) molecules are approximately 80 nucleotides in length. Lineage: Eukaryota; Metazoa; Chordata; Crocodylia; Alligatoridae. The record is from Rfam.
GGGCCAGUGGUGCAAUGUAUAACACGUCUGAUUACAAAUCAGAAGAUUGUAGGUUCGACUUCUGCUUGGCUCG